AGAGUUUGAUCAUGGCUCAGGACGAACGCUGGCGGCGUGCCUAACACAUGCAAGUCGAGCGGGAACCUCAGGAGGGGUAACCCUUCUGAGGGGAGAGCGGCGAACGGGUGAGUAACACGUGGGCAACCUGCCCCGGACACCGGGAUAACCCAGGGAAACCUGAGCUAAUACCGGAUACUCCGGCGCGAUCGCAUGGUCGCGCCGGGAAAGCUCCGACGGUCCGGGAUGGGCCCGCGGCCUAUCAGCUUGUUGGUGGGGUAACGGCCCACCAAGGCGACGACGGGUAGCUGGUCUGAGAGGACGGCCAGCCACACUGGGACUGAGACACGGCCCAGACUCCUACGGGAGGCAGCAGUGGGGGAUCUUGCGCUAAUGCGCGAAAGCGUGACGCAGCGACGCCGCGUGGGGGAUGAAGGCCUUCGGGUUGUAAACCCCUUUCGGCAGGGACGAAGGGAAACUGACGGUACCUGCAGAAGAAGUCCCGGCUAACUACGUGCCAGCAGCCGCGGUA
RNAcentral lists this ribosomal RNA (511 nucleotides) under uncultured Actinomycetes bacterium. RNAcentral describes it as "bacterial SSU rRNA". It matches the Rfam family "Bacterial small subunit ribosomal RNA", at positions 8 to 522 of the family's 1533-position model. The record is from RNAcentral. Lineage: Bacteria; Bacillati; Actinomycetota; Actinomycetes.